Molecule: long non-coding RNA, 750 nt
Organism: Betta splendens (Siamese fighting fish)
Lineage: Eukaryota; Metazoa; Chordata; Actinopteri; Anabantiformes; Osphronemidae
Exons: 5
Source: RefSeq, a predicted model, not a curated record
CUGGAAGUUAUUUAAAUAAAUGCGAUGGAUCUCCAAGGGCUGGAGGAGUGACACUUAUAUUGCCACCAGGCCACGUGUUGAGGGAACACCAGCCGCCCGUGUGAGGAGCAGCACAGUGGGAGGCUCUCUCACUUCCUCCUGCUCCAACGACAAGUCCAGCUGCAAAGGCAGCGAAAGCGUUGCCCUCCCACAUCUGCACACGCUCCCAGGAGGCAGGUGGUCCAGCCUCUGUCAGGCAGAGGAAUUCCCUGACUCAGUGCACGCCAUCCAUCCGCUGGAAAGGUCACUAUUGGCCCUGUGAAAACAAGAGGCCCUCUCAGUCUGGCUGCCCAGCUGGCUGCUCUUCAUUUACUGACCCUGCAAUCGAUAGCCCAUUGCCCAUUCAUCAGAGGAGCGGCCCGGGUGCUCGUGGGCCGGACCGGUCCGCCCCGCCCACGCAGACCAGCGUCACUGGACAGCCGCUUCAUUCCAAUCACUCACUGUGACAACAACCACCCGUGCAGCAGACCACAAACUGUUUAGGCACCGUGCUGCAGUUCGUGACUUUAUUUUCGUACACUGGGCACAAGAGCAACGCAUGCUCAUCAAACAAUGGAUGAUGCUGAGCAGGUGACAGGUGAUGGACCCUCCUGUGACACGAGCCACAUCUAUCCCAUUGCCUCGUACCUUAUUGGAGUAGGGCGGCUUGGAGAGGUUGAUGCCAUCCCUGAUGAGUUUAUCCCUGAUCAUGAUCUUCAGCUUCAGCUUGGG